This 826-nucleotide ribosomal RNA is filed under the name uncultured Bacillus sp. RNAcentral's name for it is "bacterial SSU rRNA". It matches the Rfam family "Bacterial small subunit ribosomal RNA", at positions 372 to 1189 of the family's 1533-position model. Lineage: Bacteria; Bacillati; Bacillota; Bacilli; Caryophanales; Bacillaceae. The record is from RNAcentral.
UGGACGAAGUCUGACGGAGCAACGCCGCGUGAGCGAUGAAGGCCUUCGGGUCGUAAAGCUCUGUUGUCAGGGAAGAACAAGUACCGGAGUAACUGCCGGUACCUUGACGGUACCUGACCAGAAAGCCACGGCUAACUACGUGCCAGCAGCCGCGGUAAUACGUAGGUGGCAAGCGUUGUCCGGAAUUAUUGGGCGUAAAGCGCGCGCAGGCGGUUCCUUAAGUCUGAUGUGAAAGCCCCCGGCUCAACCGGGGAGGGUCAUUGGAAACUGGGGAACUUGAGUGCAGAAGAGGAGAGCGGAAUUCCACGUGUAGCGGUGAAAUGCGUAGAGAUGUGGAGGAACACCAGUGGCGAAGGCGGCUCUCUGGUCUGUAACUGACGCUGAGGCGCGAAAGCGUGGGGAGCGAACAGGAUUAGAUACCCUGGUAGUCCACGCCGUAAACGAUGAGUGCUAAGUGUUAGAGGGUUUCCGCCCUUUAGUGCUGCAGCAAACGCAUUAAGCACUCCGCCUGGGGAGUACGGCCGCAAGGCUGAAACUCAAAGGAAUUGACGGGGGCCCGCACAAGCGGUGGAGCAUGUGGUUUAAUUCGAAGCAACGCGAAGAACCUUACCAGGUCUUGACAUCCUCUGACAACCCUAGAGAUAGGGCGUUCCCCUUCGGGGGACAGAGUGACAGGUGGUGCAUGGUUGUCGUCAGCUCGUGUCGUGAGAUGUUGGGUUAAGUCCCGCAACGAGCGCAACCCUUGAUCUUAGUUGCCAGCAUUCAGUUGGGCACUCUAAGGUGACUGCCGGUGACAAACCGGAGGAAGGGUGGGGAUGACGUCAAA